GAAAUAAUUGCUCCAUCCACAGUGGUUUUAUAACAAAAGAAAUAUUUUUUCGUGAAAAAAAACCCAACAAAUAUCUGCUUAGUUUUGUCGGCUCUGAAAUAUCUCACAAUCCUUAGACCCUUGCUAUAAUGACAAACAUUCAAAUAACAUUCCCUGUAUAUAUACAGAAACUAAAUCAUCAUCAAAUUAGUGAUAUCAUCUCCCAAUCAAAACCUUGAAACUAAAUCAUCAUCACACAAAAUACUAUACAAACUCUCUCUCUCUCUCUCCCCCCCUCUCUCCGAAGCCAACGACUCCAUUGUUUGGGUUUUGAACACAAAAAACAAAGCUUAACAUACAACCAGCCAAUCAAUCUAACUAUGCUACAAUUGUUCUUCGCGGUGGCCUUCUCGGCGAUGCCUUUGACUCUGUACGUGCCGCCAAUUCGAUCUCUAAGCCUCUUGGUGGAGACCAUCGAGGACUUCUUUCGCCAGACAUCCUUGUACACUGUCAGGGCUUAUCCCAGGAUUCGUGAUGUGUUUUCUAGUAUCUUUCGCAAUAUUUUUAACUUGUUCAGGUAGACUUUGCCCCUCAUCUUUUUUCACCUGCCUGUUUCACCUCAUCUUUUUUUAGUUCUUCUUCUUCUUCUUCUUCUUUUGUUAAGGGUUCUUCUUUUUCUUGUUGUUUCCGAGUCUGAUCCUGGAAAUGACAGGAUCUGAUGUGGAUGGAAAACAAAUUGAACAAGGCUAUAUAUUUUUCUAUUAAUACUCUCUUUCUUUCGUUUUCCCAUUGAUCAGUUCUGGAACCUGUGACUGUAUUUUGCUGCAAGUAAUAUGUGAUUAUAUAAUUUGGGUCUCUUUUUCUUCCUCGUGAUUCAAAUAUAAAGUAUAAUCUGUUAGUUUUGCUACAAUUUCCGGCACGGUGUUUUAGGUUUGCCUUGUGAGAGAUUUAAGCAACGAACAAGAAAGGGUUGCGAGUCUGUGUGUUGCUUGCUGGGCUGUUCAUACUUGGUUCCAGUAGAUAAGAUUUUAUUAGCUACAUUUGCCAGUGAUUGGCUGGGAUUAUGAUGUAUAAAUGUUCUUCUCAGUUUUUGACCAACAUAUUUAUUACCAAGUUAACUUAGGCUUCUGGAUUUUGUUAGUCGUAGUUUUAUGAUUUACCAACCAUUACUUGUUUAUAUUAAUAAGCGUGUGUGUGUAUAUAUAUAUAUAUUACUUUAUAUUAGUUUUUAAAAAUAUUUUUGUUUAGAUUUGGACUGAAAAUAAAACUUAUUUUUGUCAAAACUAGGUGUAAUUAAAUGAUUAAUUCGCAUAAUAGAAAUAAAUGAUAAAUGAGAGAUACGAGAGUGGGACUCAGAGAACUAUGUGAUUCUGGAAUAAUAAGGCGCGCAGGGAUAGGUGGCUGGCAAUUGAACAUUCUUCAUGCUGAUAAUCACUGCCAAUUUUUAGAACCAAAAAAAUAUAUGAUAAUUUUAUUAGAAACCUGGAGAAGGGAUUAUAAUAAUAUUUUUUUUAUUUUUAAUAUCAACAUAUUUAAAUAAAAAAAAUUUAAAAAAUUAAUUUAAAACUAAAUAAAAAAUAUUUUUAAAAAAUGUAAAACACUAUAUAAACAUAGAGAAACUCCUAAAACAAAAACAAAAAUAAAUAAAAGAGUUCCAUUUUGUUGAAAUUGUCCAGGAAAAUUCAGCAGGUCAAAAACUUUGACUCACGGGGGAGGAGAUGACACAAGUGAACUUUCAAAUCUGCUUGUGCCCGUGCUGCACGUGACAACUCAAAACCUUGUGCUGUAGAAGAGUUUGUCUGAGAAUAAUCAUCCACCACUGCAAAUACAAGAUGAUCUUUGUGAGUUUAUUUCUUGAUAGAAUUCUAACCAGUCCGAGCUAAGAGUUAAGAAAUACAAGAUGACCUUUGUGCAUCCUCUUCUCCCGAAUUCAAAAUUAAAACAAUUCUAACCAGUCCGAGCUAGAGUCUGUCCACGAUAAGAUGCCCAGAUCCUAAGCUCCAAGGAAUCAAUCACUGGAAUUUUCUUGAAGAUCUACAUCCCCGGUAGACUCUGCUCUGCCAAUCCGCUCCAAGAAAUUCUCCCAUUCAUCUGGAGGAAAACAAAGAUUCUCGCCUAUGAACAAAGGAGAUUAUCAGAUGCCAAUCAUAUAAUAUGGUAAAGAAAACUGAUGCUGACAAAAUGGAAAAAAUUCCUCACGACAGAGAGGGAGCUGAGAGAUAUUUUACAGGGUAGAACAACAAAAAAAGAUGUACCAGGAAAGAUUUUUUGAAGAUAGAAAAGAAUGGAUAUUCCAUCAUCAUUUUCCAUCCGCAACUCAGAGGAUGAUAUAUGUUUAUGCACGAUCUUGAUUUGGGCAAGAUCCCUCCUCGGAAAAUAAUGUUUAUGUUUAUUUUUUUUUAGAAAUAUAUUAAAAUAAUAUAUUUUUUUAAUUUAUAAAAUUUAUUUUUAAAAUCAAAUCUAAAAAUAUAAAAAAUUAAUUUAAAAAAAAAAUAUUAAAUUCUAGCUGAACUUGAUUUAGGGGUUUGUGAUAUAAUAUAUGGCUCAAGACAAGUUCUUUUGGGAACCAUUUUGAAGUCAAAUUUAGAUGACUUGAUAACUCAACUUGUUAUUUAUUUUAACCUAGUAAAAUCUAAGGGAGAUGCGAUUCAUUUCAAUUCAAAAUGAUAUAUUUUAACCUGAUUAGACCCUGAGUCCCGAGCAGGAUCCAAUCUCUUAAACCAAACAAUCAAAUUAGAGUUUUACUCCUUCCUAUCGAUUUUUAGUUUCUGGCUCUACUCUCUGUACACCCUCACACGCUAGGGUUCGCAUUCUUUAAAUUAGCUAAAACCCUAGUUUAUGGUGAGUUUAUUUAUAUUAUGUGAAAUUAUUGUUUAAUCAUUAUGAUUUUUGUUGUUUUUGUUGAAUGUUGAAAUAGCAAGCUUGGAUGGAUGACCCUUCUAGCUCGGCUACGACACUUGCGUGAUAUUGGGUAAUUGAGUAUCUGGCAAGUUUUCCUGAAAUAGAGGCCUCGAUUUUACAUGGUAUGUAUACAGCAUUCUCGAAUUUAUCCAUUUUUUUCCCUUUAUGUUCUCGCGUAAGAAAUGCGAGUUAUAUGCUUUGAAAUGAAAUGUGGUGUAGGUGAGUUGUUUUGAUUGGUUCUUUUGGUGGGUGGUUGAGAUGUUAUGUUGUGUUCAAUUUGUUCCAGAUUUGAUUGAGGCGGCUCCGAAAAUACCUGAAGAUUUGAGGAAAAACACUAGGGAAAUAGCUGCUUUGAGAUGCUUAGAGGAUUUUUUUUGUCAUAAUAACGGAAUCACGAAUGAUGUUCCUUCUAAAGAACCCAAAGUCACAUUUGAUUUGUCAGAGAGUUGUGAAGAUGUACUUCAAUCAAUAUUGCAAGAGGUGAUUCUGUUUACAAUUUCAGCUUUCACCUGUAAGCAAUUUGGAUUUGAAGCAGCACUUAUAGUAUAAAAACUUGUUAUUCAAGUGGGUUAUAUUUGAGAUGUUUUGACAUGGUUUCUUGUUUGUUAGACAUCGGUAUCAGAUCUGAAAAGGGCUGGACCGGGGCGAUUGAAAUGGGAUACUCACCCUUUCAUUAUGCAUAAAAGAGCUUCUAUGCCUAAAUGCGCUUUAGAAAAGGUGAUCGAUAAUUUCUUUAUUUUGUUAAGUUCCUUGUAAAAUAGAAAUGUACAUUGUUGAUCCUCAUUAGCUGUUUGUGGCUGUUUUUAUUUUGUUAUUGGAAAGCAGGUGAAGGAUGCAAUCCUUGAGGGUAUUCAUCCAUAUGCCUCAUUGAAGGAAUAUAGUGGACUGGUGGAUGCAAAUGAUAGGUGGACUGGUGGAUGCAAAUGAUGGGGACCUUGGUGCACCCGCAUGGAGGAUUGAUGGGAGUGGAAGAAAAUUCCAUUCCUUUAAGAGGGAUAGAAGUGGAAGAUGAUUCAUGUAACAGGAACUCAUUACACUUUAAGAGGAACUCAUUACACUUUAAGAGGGAUAGAAGUGGUUUGGCUAAUGAAAAUCUGGCUGGAGACCUUGAAGACCAAAAUUGUGUUGAUGAUGGCGAUCAUCUUUAUCCACAAGCCAAGAGGUUCAAGCAAGAUGCCUUAUGUGACUACCAGUCUUUGGAACACAUUUCAACUCCUCAACAGCACAUGGAAAUGGUAGAGGAUUCAAUUCAAAGAGUGACUGGGGAUUCUGAAAACAAAGAUUGUCACAUGGAAGAAAAAACUUCACAAGGUGGAUUGGAAGAAAGCAGGUCUGCAGAGAAUGGUCAUGAUGAAUGUGUUGGUAUGGAUAGGCAUGGGAAGAGUCUUGAUCCUGAUAAUGCAUUCCAGCAUAAUCAGCACGAGAUUGCUCACAAUGCCAACAAAAUGCCACAAGAUAUAUCUGGGGAUGGACUCCACCUGUAUAGCUUAGUGGAUGAAAUCAAUUGUGCUGAACCUAGAAUAUCAAACACUGCACCAUCUGUAGGAACCCCAAAUAAAUUCUUUGUUAAUGAAAACAAAGAUAACUCUGAUCAUAGUGGUCAACUAAAACCAUCAAAUUCUUUGUGCCACCCUGAUGCAACUGUUAGGACUAAUCAUAUAUCUAAUGGAGAAAAGGUGGGGGAGCAGAUGGUUCGAGAGAACCCUUCUGGAACUGGACUUGACAGAAACCAACACGAAGUUUGUGUUGAUCCUAUUGACAACGAUGUUGAUCAGUCGUGUAAAGAAAAAGAUGUUUUCUCUGGAAGCCAGAGUAAAGAUGGACAAAGACAGAAAGCUGUUUGUGCCACCAACAUCGACGGAGGAGAAACCUCUGAUGAUGAAAAUGACAAGUCAUCAACUUCUAAUUACUUCAUACAAUUCCGAAACAGAGAGAAACAAUGGUAAGUUUCCAGUUAUUCCAAGUGUUAUGCGGGUGGUUAUAGUGCUUCUGAAUGCCAUUUCCAGAACUAAAAUAAUUUGGACUUUUAUUUUUUACUACCUUCAAACAAUCUUUUCAUGCAAUGUCAACCUUUUUCUAUUAUUGUUUUGUUGUGUGUGUUUGUGCAAAUCACUUUGCUCCCUUGUUCAACCACAUCCUUGCUAAUUGGCAUUUGAUUGCGGUGACAAUCAGUGUUGUCAAGAGGCGUUGAGGCGCUCCAGGCGAGGCCCCAAUGCUUUUAUUAGCCUCAGGCGUUGAGUGGGUGCAAGGUGUUAAGUUCAAUGAAGCACUGCCUAGGCGAGCGCCUUAUGAGUGGGUGCAAGGUGUUAAGGCUAGUGCCUGCUUGAAGUUCUUUUUCUAUUGGAUUUUUUUUUUUUAACUGAUUUAUGUUUUGACCUGUUUGUCCAUUUUUUUCAACUGAUAUUUAAUUUUGCUUUUUAAACUACUUGGCUACUUAUUACUUGAAACUAUCUUAUGUUGUUUUAAGGGUGAAAAAUAUAACUUUAUAUGACUAUGUUAUGGUAUUUUAUAUUUUCUUUUGAUUUUCUAAUGAUCUAAUUUCAAUUGGGAAGAUAUAUAUAUUUUAGAUUUAUAUAACAUAAUAUAAUAUUACAUUUUUUUUUUAAUUUAUAGCAUAUCGACUUGGUUCAUUUGGGUGAGCACCUAGGGCCUCGGGCAUUUUAGAGGCUUGGUGCCUUUUAGCACCUUUAACCUUUUACGCACUGUUGACAAUUGUAAUUGGUCUUAAUGUUUAUUCUGAUCUGCAGUUCAUACCCUGCAAUGCCUCGGUUGAGGCGGAAAAAGGUUCCAUGGACAGUUCAGGAGGAGGAGAUGCUCAAGGUACUUGUUUCUUGCGUAUUUGCUUCUGUCACCAAUAUUAUUUCAAUGAUAUGCUUUUAGGUAAAAUGCAUUUAUAAGUAUGCAAGGAGAGUGAUUUUCUUGGUUGUGCAUUAUAUAUGCUUUUUUCUACAAGCGCAUAUCAUAUAGUUGUGGCAUUUAGCUCUUCAGUGUAUAGGCCUGUCAGACUUUAAUUUCUUUCUCUUACUGUUACAGGAGGGAGUGCAGAAAUUUUCAAGCGACGGAAAAUUUCCAUGGAAGGACAUUUUGGAGUAUGGUAGUUCUGUGUUUUUGAGUGGCCGUACAACAAUAGACCUUAAGGAUAAAUGGAGGAACAUGUGCAAAGUAAGCCCUAAAUUCAAGUAAAAUUUUGCCAGCCUCAUCACUUUGCUUAUAUGGACGUGUUCUCAUAUUUGGGUCUGCUCAGCCUCACUUUUUUGUUAGGAUUCUUACUGAUGAUCAAAGAAACUUGUGUGCAUUAAAUUACACCUUGCUCUUUCCUGUAUAUAGUUAAUGGUAAACCUGAGAGAAGCAUGAAACUUGUUGGCUGGGUCAUGAGCACACGUGAUCAAUAUUUUGGGACGAUCUGUGUUGUUAUCACUGAACAUAUUGCAUCCAAUCUUAAGACAUUACAGCUAAAUUUUGCGUGCGUUAAUGAAUGGAAUCAAAUCUGUCUUCACGAGAAGACAUACCUUAAUCAUCUCCUUGGAUCACUUAACAGAGAACCUACAUGAAAUGAGGGCCAGAACGCAUCUGUUUUUCCUUUUCUUCUACUCCCUUUUUCUUUUUUUCUUCUGUUUUUUUUAUGGGGAUAUCACGUCUGUCUUCUUGUUCUGUUUUAAGGGCCCAGAGCUCAUUUUCAUGAAGAGCUAAUGCAAUCAAAUCAUCAACUUGUUUGACAAUUUGCAAGAAUCGAACACAUUACGCUUAAAACAGGUAUCUUUGCAGUGAACAAGGUUCUGGUGAAAUAUCUGAGAUGACCUGCAUUGUGAAUGGUCUCAUUGCAUUGAUUGCCAUGUGAGUUAUUUUCAUUAUAGACGCCUUCAUAUUUGCUUGGUCAUUAGUAAAUCAUGGUAACUGUCGUGCAAGCAUUAGAACCAUGAGUGAAGAAUGAUAAAAUCCACUCGUGACAGGAAUAGGGCAAGUUGAAGAGCACAAUCUACUUUACACGUGACAUGUUUUGAUAAUUUGCAGAGCAUAGGUAGCUACAGUUACUUAAGUAGUACUUGACCCAAAGACACAGAGCUUUUGACAUGGGAUAAAGGUGAGAGUCUCGGGAAUCAGGUCGUCAAGGCAGGACAACAUGUGAAUUAGGGCACGUGAAAAUGAAAAAUGUUGAGGCGGGCUUGCUCCAAGUAAAAAUCCAAUUCUUGUAGAAACACUAGUGUAGAAUCCAAGGCAAAGGAAGUCAGAUAGUGAUGGCUUUGCAAGGUGGAUUUUAUUGAAUGCGUCAUCACUCUAAAGGCAGUCAAGCUGUUCAUGACCCAAUUCCAGUCACCACCACAACGCAAUCUUAUCAUUCACUCUCGCUAAGUUUUUUCUGUUUGCGCAGACGGCUGAGUGCCAAGUUCAACAGCACUUGGUAUCAUUUUUCCUAGAUCUUAUAUAUAUAUAUAAAUCGGAGAUAUUGCUCGUACAAAAAAAUCUUUCAAUGUGAUGAAGUUAAGUGGGAUGUAUGUGCUGAUGGUAAACUCGACUGAUGCAAUAAUUUUUCAUCUCCGACGUUGUAGUGUUAAUUAUCGAGACUGCAUAAGGAAAUAGAAAAGUAACCAAUUACUUCUUACAACUAGUUUACUUUCAAGCAAUUCCAAAUUUUUUGUUUUUUUUUGUUUUUAAUCAACGGGCUUGUAAUUUAUUUUCACGAGUCUGUUUAAUGUGAAGGACAAGCUCCAGCAGCAUUUACUUUCCUCCUGACUUUUAAAGUUCAACCACCCUGUGAUUAUAAGAGGGAAUUUGGUUAUGUAGCGUUGUCCAACAUUUUGGGCAGGAAAGUCUAGGUAUCCAUUUUAACUUUUUUUGCUUUCGUCAACUUAUUCCAACUCGUACAGCGUCGCUAACUUGGUUCCUUCCUGCACCAUCAACUCGACUAUGGUAAUCUCAUUUUCCUUCCAUCCAUACAAGAUGUGACAUGUUGUCAUUAAAAGGUUUUUUAAAAUAGAAAACGCCACCAUCGAAAUAAUUUUAAAAAAGUCAAAGUUUUGAAAUUAUCUAACACUCACAAACGGUCACAUGGGCAUGAACUCUUCCUCAGCGUGACAACAUUUAAACCAAAGCUGUUCUCUCACACUACAUAUCCCGCGCCUUUCCACCCUUUUUUUGCACUCCCCAAGUCAAUACUCUCACUCAAAACCCCCCCACUGAGCUUACUUUCACACCCUAAAAACUCUAUGGAGAAUUGCGGAAAAUCUCCAUUGAAGCCGUGGAAGAAAGGUCCAACAAGAGGCAAAGGUGGUCCUCAAAACGCCAUGUGUGACUACCGAGGGGUACGUCAAAGAACAUGGGGCAAAUGGGUGGCAGAAAUAAGGGAACCCAAGAAGAGAGCAAGACUAUGGUUGGGUUCUUUUGCUACGGCGGAAGAAGCUGCCAUGGCCUACGAUGAGGCUGCAAGGAGAUUGUAUGGACCAAAUGCUUAUCUUAAUCUACCUCACCUUCAGUCAAACUCUAGCCCUCCCAACAAAUCACAUAAGUUCAAAUGGAUUCCUUCCAAUAACUUCAUCUCAAUGUUUCCUUCUUGUGGGUUGCUUAAUAUUCAUGCACAGCCUAGCGUUCAUGUCAUCCAUCAGCGGCUCCAAGAACUCAAGAAUAACAGGCCCCUAAAUCAAUCCUCUGUUGCUUCUAGCUCUUCUUCCUCUGAAUCCAGAACUGAAGUGAUGAUUGUAAGUGAUGAAAACUAUGUUGCAAAUGUUUCUGCAGCAGAGAAAGAUGAGGAGAUAUCAUCAGAGAAGAUGCUGCUAACAAAUCAUGACGAGAAACCACAGAUUGAUUUAAACGAGUUCCUUCAGCAGCUGGGCAUACUGAAAGAAGAGAAUCAGCCAGAUAACAAUGAUGUCGAUGAACAUUUCACGGAGCCAGAAUCUUCACAUAAAGAUCAAAACGAACUUACAGCCUUGGCAGACAAGAGUUUCGAUUGGGAUUCACUGAUUGAAAUGCAUGGAAUUGCUGAUCAUCAAGGAGAGGAAUUUAAUAGUUUCCCAGUUUAUGACAUCCAAAAAGAGCUGGCUUUCCCAACUUCCAUUUGGAACUUCUAGGAGGAUAAAAUGAUUUAGGAAGAAUGAAAGCUAACUUUGCUGCCUGCUCGAUUGGAACUAGGAUGUCUGUUUUCACUUAAUUAGGCCAUACUGUAGUUUGCUCUAGAUCUACUGCCCGUUGAAUUGCUCUGUGAUAGUAGUUAGUCAUUUCCAUGGCAACAUAGAUCAGACUAGAAAGCAUUUGACCUUACCACAGAGAGAGAGAGAGAGAGAGAGAGAGAGGAGGAGGCUUGCUGUAUAAGUUAUAGUAGCAAGGGUUGGGUAGAGGGAAGUUCACUGUUGCAAUGAUAAUAGCAUUUCACUAGGUUUCUUUUUGACCCAUGGCUGAUGUGAACUCUCAUCAAAUGUUUUGUUCGACUGAUUUUGGCUGCGCUAGGUUUAUUUGUGCUUCUGUAAUUUUGCUAGCUUUACAACAAGGGGAAUUCACAAGGAAGCAUGUUACAAGAUCAUUGAUGGACAAAAUAAUCUUAAGGUAGAUUUUUCACAUUCACAGUUCUAUGCUUUAGCAGACCUUCAUAGUUCAUUAUAAUAAAUUGAUCAACAAGCCCUCUCAUUAUCUGUGCUCACAUGCAGGAUCAAACCUAAAAAUGUCUAAUUUGUGAGUCAAGAGAAAAAAAAAAUGAGCUUAGUAGUCAGAAUUUUACCUGGAAGUAAGGAUCAGGCUGCUACUUGCUAACCAACAGUUGAACCGUGAAGGUCUGCUAAAGCAAAGAACUAAACAAUGAGCAAUGACAAAAUGAAAAGACGCAAAGACGAGAGAGAAAAAAAGAAGAUAUAAAUGCUUCUCAUGCAGCAUAUCCCAUAUAAAAUUAUAUGCGAAUGCAGUCCUUCAUAAAAAUUCUCUUGCGAGGCAAAUUCCUCAUUGAUUAUGACUGUUGUGAGAAGCCAUUCUUUCAGGCUUUCCUUUUCUCUUGAUUUAAUGAGAAGGUUCAAACCCCAACUGCACAAUCAGAAUUGCCUACAUUUAUCACAAUUCCAUGCCUAUCACUUCAUAUGAUGAUAAAACUUUUCCUGUGUGUAGUUUAAUUUAUCAGAAAACCUAUUACCUACAAUGCAAAAGAAUAUCUGGACAAGAGAUUUUUUAUCUAUUUCAAAAUUAUAGUAAAAAAUACAAAGUAUAAUCUUUUCCAGAUAAUUAGAUAAAUUAAAAGAAGCAAAAUAUGCUCUGAUCAACUAUCAGAUUACUUUGAUCCAAAUACAAAUAGUGAAAAUACUUCCAAGUAAUGUCUUCUAGCAAGCCAUUUGAUAAUCUCCAACAGUUUAAAAAUACCCUCUUCCCUAGCUAUCUUUGAUCAUUCAUUGAGGUACUCUGAUGCACUUAGAUACUCCCCUUGCUCCUCAAAAUGCUCAAUUAAUCGCUUUAAGAACCCAUCACCACUCACUGUCUCUGUGUCACAUACAAGACAACACUGUCUUCUUGCCCGUGUCACAGCCACAUUCAUCCGCCUAUGGUCACUCAAAAACCCCACCUGAAAUGUUUUGGAAAAGUUUCCAAGUUUCAACAGCUAAAGAUGCUAUAUAAUCUUUAUAACUGAUCUUAAUAAUCUAAAUCUAAAAGGAAACAAAAAGGUGUACUGAAGAGGCUUAAAAUACCUCUUUCUUUGAGUUUGAUCGAACCAUUGAAAUAAUGAUGGCUUCCUUCUCUCGACCCUGGAAACCAUCCACUGUUGAGAUUUCCAUAUCCUUUAGCUUAUCAUCAUUGUUUUUUAAUAUCCUGAGCAAGACAACCUGCAGUACCAGUGGCAGCAUAUAUAAGGCCAAACUAUCCCAGGGAUUGAGAAUGUGCAUAGAGCAGAUUGUCACUUGCCUAGCAGCUACUUAUCUAGAAGCACAUAACAAAAAAAAUGCUCAAAAGAUAUACACUUCUAUACCUGUGCUGCAUAAGGAGUAAUUAUUCCAAUGUCAGAAGCCUGGACUCCACUCUGAACAAGUCUCUUUGCAUGGGCCACUGCAACUUCAGCUUCUCCCUCAUUCAUUGUGCUAUCUUCUUCAUCCUUCUUUUCCUCCAUAUCACACCUGGAUCAGAGAAGUGUGAAGUGUGAACCAAUUAUAAUCUAAUUUAAAGGAAAAGGAAGAGGAAGAGGAAGAGGAAGAGGAAGAGGGGAAAAAAGAUUCCUAGCAUAGAAGGCCUCCUGAUAUCAUCUGGGAAUAAAAUCCAAUCUACUUCACUUCUCCUGAUACUUCAACUGUUUCCAGCUCUGAUUUGAUUUGAAAUUUAUUUUCACUCAGAAAUAAAUAAAUCUUCUAAUAGUUCAAUUAAAAGGAGUAAGUUCUGUUUUCUUGAAGCAUUUUAAAGAUACAGGCAAUUUCAUGUGCACUGACCACCUCUAAGAAAACAAAGACUAUUUAGCAUAUUGCAACAAUAUACUACGUACCCAGCUAUGUCUACAAGAAGAAGGGUCGGUUCUGUAGAAGAGGAUCUCUUGACACCCUCAAGAUCAAAAAGCAUAUGUGCAGCAACACUCGGAUGGGCUUUGAUCUAGAAUAAACAUCAUAGACCCAAAAAAAGAUGAUGAACACUGUUAUACAAUCACAACAAUUUUGGUUUAUUUACUAAUAAUUUUAUCAUGCAGCCAAAACCUAAUGAUGAUCUGAGCACCUUACUGUUGUAAAGCUCUUUAGAUGACCAGUUCAUAAUUAGUUCAUGCAUGCGGUACUGGACAGUGAGCAUAGAAGUGACUUCAUCUCCAUACAGAUCCGUGAGGCGUUCAAAGAGGGUUCUUCCCAGCCCUUUCUUCUCAGCUUCAACACUUUGGAUGGUUGGAGGAAGCUGAAGAUGGUCUCCUGCAAGUAUACACCUUGAACCCUGAAGAAAUGAUCACAUGUCAUUUAGUGGUGGUUGUAAUGUUAAAAACACUCAUUUUAUAUCAUGUCUUUGAAAACCUUGUAUUCUUUACAAACCAUGUAAAGAUAAUAACAAAUUGCCAUGGUGGGAGAUAACCAGCCCCACCAAGAUCUUGAAGACUUAAGACCUAUUUGACUCUGAAUAAUGGAAAUCUAAAGGCAAUUUCCACGCCCUUUUGUGUGGGGCGCGCGCGCGCGCGUGUGUGUGGUGGGGGGGUAUGGAGGGUAUUUUCUAUACAAGGGCUCUACUCAACUAAUGGGACUUGGGCAGCCAUAGGAAACUUGGUGAAUGUGUGUGGGGAGGAGGCAUGGCCUCUCUGGCUCUUCCGGUCACCCCAAUGCUCAGAUAGUGACUGUACUAUGUUCUGAGUGGCAUACCUACAUGUUUAGCAAAUGUUCAAUUCCUGCAUACCCAGGUUUCACUGAAAGUGCAAAUACAAGUUUUAUAACUGUAGUAAUAUUGUACCUUCAGUAAAGCAAGCCAGCAAGUUAUCUCAAGUGCCUGAGCAGCUUCAUCAAUAAUCACCAAAUCAAACGAAGUAGUAUUCAGCUUGUGAGAAAAUGCACCAGUCAAAGUCGUCAACACCACAUCUGCAUUUUUAAUUACAUCUAUCACGGCUAACUGCUGCCUUUUACGUUCUUCUUUUGAAAGAGUCCUGAGUUCCUUCUGUAUGUCUCUUCUUGUGCUUUUAUCUUUGGUUUUCAACAAUUUUCCAUUUAAUGCCUGAAUAAAUGCAGAGGAGAUAUAUUUGGGGAAUAUGAGGCACUUCACUAAAUUAUGGAAGCACAAAAAGAAGCUUACACUUGAAAAAAGAAAGAAAGAGGUUAACAUACUUAUUUUAAAGGGUUUUUUUUCCCUUUUCCUUUCUGGUAGCAAUUCUUGAUAUUUUAGUUUUGUAUUAUUACACAAUCCUUCAGGAAGUUAUAGCUACUGCCAACUACUUUAGACUGCAGCAAAUAAUUACAUUCUUUUCUUCUUCUUUUUUCUUUUUUUUUUCAAAAAAAAAAGGAAAAAAGUUCCUUGCCUAUUUCAACUGUUUUUUUUAUAUAUAUGAACUAGGAUGCAUCUACAUGAGGUUGCUGAGGACAUCUGUAGCCUUCCCAUUUGCAUCAAAGGAUUAAGCACUUGUAAGAAUCACAUCUAUUCCCAUUCAACAUCUAUGAUAUUUUAAUGCAACGCUAUAAAAGUUCAAACUCAAAUACAACCUUGCAGUAGAAGUAUUUUCUUCACAUCUAAUUAAAUACAUUAAACUACAGGUUUUAUGUGCAUAGCAUUAGAGCUAAAUUCAUUCAGCCUCAUUGGUGAGAGUAUUAUUCUCUAUUGAAAUAGUAGUAAAUUGUCCACAUUCGAAAUUAUUUUCAUAAGAAAAAACAAAGUUGUGUAUUUCUUAAUAAACAGAACAGGAAAAAACCAGUUUUUUCAAAUAGUUUGUGACUAGGCUUAGUUGGAUUGGUUGAGUUCAACUCUUAAAGAGAGCACUCUAAAUAGCCUUCAACUGUUUCACUCUUCACCAGGCAAACCCUCUACAUUUAACUUGAUGAAUGAAUACUUCAAUUAUUCAUCCCCUUUUCUAGUCUAAAUACCUCGGCUUCAAAGAUGCCAUGACUCUUGUCAUCUACCAUGCAAGGCCUCAAAAAACUAUCACAAAAAAAUGAAUGCAGACUACCUUUCUGCUUUAAAAUCAAAAUUUGUUUCUGCAAAUUAUAAUGACUUGCGUCCUGUGGGGAAGGAUUAAUUGUAUAAACACAGGAAACAAACCGUCUAUUUCCUGAAAUAGCAAAUAAAGAUAUAUUUGGAGGAGCAAGUUAAGAUCUGAAUCUCUACCUUCAUUUCCUUCCGAAUGUCAUUUGCAAGAGCGCUGUUGUCCCCCCGUAGAACCUAACAGCAAAGAAACAAAUGCAUAAGAAAAACAUGAUAACUCAAAUGUAAGUAAGUAGUAUGUGAAAAAAAUCAUUGUACAUCAAGAGUGCUCUAUCCACUUUGGAAGAAAAUUGGGGUAAACAAAGGAACUUCCUUCCUCAUUAUCAUAUCCACAACUAGAAAACAUGGAGGAAGGUUUGUGUAUUGAUAAAUGGCAAAAAGGUAUUAUAUUCGUAUGCAAUAAAAAAUGCUAACUGCAUAGAUGUUGAUAAAUGACAACUUAUCAAGCAAGAAAUAAUUGUAAACAUUAAGUUCAGUUCCUUGAAGAAAGCAAAAAAAAAUAAAGAUAGUUAUCCCCAAAUGCUACCACAAGAAUCCUCAAGACAAUCCCAAAUCCCAACAUUUUGUAAUGUACAAAUAUGAAUUCAAUAAGUGAACAACCUGAAUGAAAGAGCACAUGUACCUCAAGUAGAUGAACAUGGAGAUAAGAACCUCAAAUUCAAUUUAUUUAUUUUUUUAUUUCCAAACAUCAAAUAUCUUAGUAUACCUGUGCAUCAAGUGCACUGUCCAAUACUUGAGGUAGCAAGCGUGCAGGAUGCCCCAAUCUCACUAACUUUACUCUGAUAAGGGAAUGGAAAAUGAGAAUGAGAAAUUUUUGUAAUACUACCCAUGAUGACACUAAUGAACAAUCAGCAGAGAAGAACUACUCAGCAUUAAUCUAACUAGCUUGACUGUGAGAAAGGGAAAAAAAAAACCAGCAGUUCAAAGAUUUUAGUUCCUAUUUGCUCAAACAACCUUUACUUGUUAGGGGGGGUCCAAAUUAGAUCUUAAAUUCAUAAUCGCAUUGUUUAACUUGAGGAAGAACCACUACUAGGAUUGCAAAGAAAUCUUUAUAAUCGUGUUAAUGCUAGGUUAGAUUCCAAAUUUUAAUUUACUUACCCAUACAUUAGGGAAUCAACAUACCUGUGAGGAACAAGUCGCUCAACAAUGUUGUCGACAGCAAUGUUUGAAGCAGCACAUGCAAGAAUCUUUGAUCCUCUUUUCACUUCUUGCAAGAUAAUUUCCACCACAGUUGUGGUUUUUCCAGUUCCAGGAGGUCCAUGUAGCAAAAAUACAUUCUUUGAUGACAGUGCCUUUGAAAUGGCAUCUUUCUUGACCCCCCGAAAAAAAAAAAAAGAGAGAAAAGACAGAAAAAGAAAACAAGCAGAAUAAUUUUUUUAGCUUGUUGAAUAGCAUGAAAUACAACCAGUAACAUGCAAGAUUCAAAACCAAAAAGCACCUGGUUUAACUUUUCUAAUAAGAGAAUAUAUUUCAGAAAUGAUGUAAACUGCUUGAGAGUUUGCUCAUAAAAAAAAAACUCAAAAUACCAUUGCUUCCUCAUUUGAUUAUACAGUAAGAUUGAUCCACACACACAAAGCCAUACUCACAUGCACAGAGAGCCUCAUGUAAAGUUGACACAGAAUAAUAAAAGGCUAGAUCUUAUCAGGGAGAGUGCAUAUGGUUACUAUUGCCAGGAUGUUUCAUUCCCAUCAGAUUUAAUAUUAGUGGCAACCUUGAGUUAUCUUAAAAUGAGGAACGAGAUAAAGAACUGAGGAGCCAUCAUAUAGACAGUAGAAAGAACUAUAAGAAUGCACUUGCACACCUGAGAGUGAUCAAGGUGGGAGUUAAUUGGGGUGAAUGUAACAUCCUUUUUUGACAUUGUUGGUUGUCUCUCUCCAAAUAAAACAGGAAUUAAGUCAGCAGCGGGGCCUCUAUGCACACCUUUGCUCAACUGAAUCAAGGCAUCCUUCAUCCUCCGAUAUGUCACCUGCAUAAGAAAUCCAAACCUACAGCAAUCUCACCCCAACUAUCAUAAUUCGAAAAAGUGCAGUCCUCAGGAUAACUAAAAUUAAUCCCUACAUAGACCACAAGGUGAUUACAUUUUCUCUCAUUCAUUUAUCGGACUGCAUAACUUGUAUUUACAAGCCAUUAGGUAUAGAGCCUGUUUAUUAUAUCUGCUUUUUCAAAAGCACUCUUUGGCAUGCUUUGUUUAGAAGCUUUUUUGCAGCUGCUUUCACCAUGGUAAUCACAAAAGCACCACAUAAACAUCAUUUGACUUCUUUUAAAAAAGCAUACAAAAAGGGAGUUUUUACAACCACAAGGCUGAAAAAGCUUACAGGGGGCAGAUAAAAUACGACACAAAUUUCACCUACUAUAUGGUUCACAUAAUCCAGGACUAAACUACUCACAGAAUCAAAUGAAUGAAAUAAAAUCCUCUAUGCUGCAACCAAGAAACAAUAAGCUCGCACAAACAUUUAUCCCACACUAGCUUGUCACGCAAAGCCUGUAACACUAAACUACUCACAGAAUCAAAUGAAUGAAAUAAAAUCCUCUAUGCCGCAACCAAGAAACAAUAAGCUCGCACAAACAUUUAUCCCACACUAGCUUGUCACGCAAAGCCUGUAACAAGAAAUCUUUAGAAAAUUUAAAACAAUGUACCUCAUUUGCAACUUUCUCCAAUCGUAGCGGACUAUUUAAACCCUCAUCCGGUAUAUCAUCAAAAGCAACAGUAAUAGACGAGUCCUGUUCAAUAUCCAAAACAAAAAUAUCUGCCACCAAUCAACCACACAAUAAUUUAUAGCCAAAACAAACACUGUAAUCACCCGAACCUCUAUUUCAAAUCCCCGGUUAUUACCUUUAACCGAUAAACAACACCUUGACCAAGAGCAGGGGAUCCUAAAUCAGCUUUGUUCGGUUUCAAGACAACCACAUCAUGUGUGCCAAACUACACCAAAAAAAUUAUUAUGAAAAAAAAUGCCGCAAUAAAAAAUCAAAUUUACAGCCAACUAUUAUUAAAAAAUAAAAUGCUCACCUUAUGAGCAGGUAAAACAUCUCCUUUAUUAGAUUGGAACUCCAGUAGCGUCUUCCCCAUCAAACCUGUCUAUUAUAUAAUUCAAAUAUUUUGAGUUUAAAUUUAAAUAUAUUAAAAUUAAACAAUAACAAAGUAUUUAGUAAUUUACCUGAGCAUCAACGCACUUCAAAUUGAGAAUCGUAGAACCUUUCUUCUGAGCAGAAUCUAAAUUUCUUAACGCGCCUGAACCAAUAGAUGCUGAUAUCUCUGAUUCCUAUAUAAAUAAAUAAUUAAAUUUAUUCACUUUUGAUUUAAUUGAAAACGAUAAAAAAAAAUUUAUAGGAUAGCAGUAGAUAAUAAUGGAGACUGGAGAGAAGAAGAAGAAGAAGAAGAUAAAGGAGGAAAGAAACCUUCUCUAAAUCGAGCAAAGGAGACGUAAUGGAGAUGAAUUCUUGAAGCGAGAGAGCCGCUGCUUUCUUUUUCGUUUUCUCUGUCUCCAUCCUUCCUCGUUGCUUUUGCUUGCUGAGAAUGUGAGAGAGAGAUACUGGGGUCUGUCUAAGCAGUUUUCAUCUCACAACCUGAAUUUUUAAAGUUUGUGUUAAUUUGUUUUUGUAUUUUAAAAAUAUUUUUUAUUAUUUUUUAAUAUUUUUAUAUUAUUUUAAUAUACUUAUGUUAAAAAUAAAUUUUUUGAUAUUUUUCUAAAAAAAAUAUUUUAAAAAAUAAUUAUAAUUAUAAUUUUUACAAAGAAAUUAGAUUCUUAAACUUUAAUGAAAGAUGUAAUUAAGUACAAUCCACUAAAUUAUAUACAUGUUUUGUAAUGGGGUGUAAAAUAUUUUUGUUAUAAAUAUUUUAAUUAAAAAUAUAUUAAAAUAUUUAUUUUAUUUAAAAAUUAUUUUAAAAAAUUAAUUUAAUAUUUUUUUAGAUAAAAAUAAUUUGAAACACAAAACUAAACUCAUAGUACUGAAAAAUUGAGCUAAAUCUAGCAAAGUUUUGAAGGCUUGGAGAUUUACUUGUGAAAUUAUACCUUGGUUGGGAACUAAUUUUUAGGUGUCCCAAAAAUAUAUAUAUUUAUUGGAAACUUGAAAGCAGUUUGGAAUUGUGUUUUAAAUAAUAUUUUUUAAAAAAUAAAUUUAUUUGUUUAAAAUUAUUUUUUAAUAUUUUAAAAUUAUUUUGAUGUGCUGAUAUUAAAAAUAAUUUUUAAAAAUUUAAAAAAAUAUAUUAUUUUAAUAUAUUUUUAAAUAAAAAACAUUUUUAAAAAAUAAUAAUUAUUACAUUCUUAAAUUCCUUAUAGAUUCACAUGAAAAGACUGUCUUGUGUCAAUUCUUAAGUUCUCGAGCAUAGCGUUGUUGAAAACUAUAAUGAGUUAAAUGAUUGAUGAAAAAUAAAAAGAUUAAUUAUUAAUUAAUUUAUAUAAAAAAAAUUAUAUGUAGCUUUGUAUUUUUUUAUUUUUUUUUCAUGUUAAGGACUUGGUCAUAAGUAUUACUUUUUUGAAUCAUUUAUAAUAAAUAUUUUCAAAUCAAUUUAUAUAUUAAUUAAAUUUUAAUUUCUUAAAUAUUAAAAAUAUUUAGGUAGAAGGCAUGCAAAUUUUAAAAGAGUACGUAUAUAAGAUAGUUAUUUUUUUUUCUUUUUUGAAAUCAAAAUAAUUAAAAGCCAUUGAGCAAUCCAAAUUCCAAAUCCCAUCAUCAUAAUGGACUCCUUAAUAAUUAUUUUUAACCUUUGGAUAUUAGUAGGGAAACCUAGCUAGUUGAAGGAACCAACAGCAGGACACAGAUCUAAAUAAUUACAGCUCGCCAAAUCUUACAUCUGCAAAGCAUAUUAUGUUCAUUUCACCAUAAGGUCACACAGCAUCCUUUGUAAUCUCUCCCACACUCCAUGACUCUUCGGCUGACUUCUCGAGCUCGGAAUGCACCACCUUCGACACUGGAGCCUCCUUUGCAUGAGCUGAAUCAUGUUGUUGAAUCACCAGCACUGAAGAGACCACACCGUGCCUUGAUGAGGCCAAUAUGUCUCCAAUAGGUCCCAACUCUGCAUGUUCAGCUUGGCGGUAUGCUAAUUCUGCAAUCAUAGUUGAUGGAAACCUGCCUUUGCCAACAAAAAUAAGGUCAUAAUCCCCACUCCUUCCUAUUGCUAACACUCUCUCAACAAUGUCGCUUACAACAUUCUCUGUGUACUCUACUGUCCCCUCCCACUUGCUCUUAAAUUCAGCAAUUCAGCUAUGGCAGUCUCGUCCAGGUCCUGCUAAGUUCAUCAGAAAAUUAACAAAAAAUUGAAAGAAAUUUAAUUGAACUUAAUAACACACACACACACACACAGUAGGUCUGGAAGCUGAGAGGACAUGCCUUUUCCUUCUCUGGGUUCAUUAUAGCAGUGGAGAAGCUGUAACUUAGUUCAGUACUACGACGUUCGGAUGGUGAAAGCUGUAACACAACAUGGUUUUUUUCUUGCCCUUCUUUUUGGACGAAUCUGACAGUGGUAACUUUAACCACUGGGUGUUCUGCCAUCCUACCACCCAACUCCAAGGCUUCACGAUCAUCAGGUCCACCAAAAAACAUGAUGCAGACCCUUUGGGUUAUAUUGGUGUUAGCCUCUGAAAUCUGAGAGUCAUUUCCAAAUCCACGAUCCACAAGCACUGCCACUGAACAAGGUGCAUUUUUUAGCACCCUUUGAUUCACCCCUCUCCAUCCAUGGCCAACAUUGUCCAUGAUCUGAUCACCAUCUCCCCUCAAUUGUUUAUGAAAUGGCAAAAUGAUCAGAGUUACCUUCUUAUUCUCUCCCACUUGGCAAAUAUCCUCAUGCGUGGUAGUCAAAUUUGAGAUUGAUGUCAUGGUGCGCACAGAAAUUCGGUCCAGUUGGCUAUAAGCCUGGAAUGCCCCUGUGACUCGAUCAUUCCAUUCACUAGACUGAGAUUGAUUAAUAAAUGGAAGUCCAUUUUUACGGACCCUUUGGACCAUGAUGAUUGAUGAUGAUCGCUCAGUAAGCUCCACCAGAUGCAUGAUAUAGAGUUUGAGUUGGGAUUUUUUAGUGCUCCUUAUUGACUCAAUGAGACUAACAAGUGGAGGUACAUUUUCAGAUCCAUGAGCACAAGCAAGGAUACGUAGCUCGUCCUUUGUGCCUUUUGUGGUGGUCAGGUCACCUAGCUUGCGGUGGGAGCUAGUGGAGGAGCCACCACGGGCGGGUUUGUAGAUAGCCAUGACGGUUGGGGUGGUGAUGAAGGUGGUAAAGAGUGCCAUGAGAACAAGGAUUGCGAAGCUCUCAUCAUUAAGGACCUGUAGAAAAGAAAAAUGACUGUAUUAGAGAUGAAAUAACGCACCGGCGUGGGUUACCAUAUUCUUAAUUAGUUUUUAAAUAGGAAAGACAUUUUAUUGUAAUUUAUUUAUUUUUUGUUGAAUAAUAAAUAGUAUUCUCAUAAUCAGUUUUUAUAUAGAAACUUGAAAUGGAUAAAAUAUAAAUAUCUAUUUUUUUAUCGAUAAAUAAUGAAUUGAGCAUUGAUAUAAUAAAAGCCUGACAUAUUGAUACUCGUUAUAAUCUCUAACAAGAACAUCUAUUAUCAAUUUUUAUGAGAAACAUUUCUACGCAAUUUCCCGCACCUAGUUGCUUUUUCACAAUGAAUGGUAAUAUAUGUAAAUAAAGAGAUCAUAAAAUUUCACAUAUUAGUUUUAUAUUAUAGAAAACAGUAAGAUUAUAGAAAACAGUAAGCCGUGGUUAAAUCACUAUGCAAAAUAUACCGUGGACCAGGACAUAUGGAAUCGUGGAUUGCAACACUAAUUUUUUUUAUUUCACUCUUAUUAGAAUAAAUUAAAGGUCAAAUUAAAUAAAUUUGUUGAAAAAAUAAAAGAUUAAAAGAAAAUGAAUUGAAGUGAAAAAAAAAAAAAUGAGUGACAGUUUUAAAAUUGACAAGAAAUUUGUAUUGCUAUCUUAUUUUUUUUAUUUUUAGGUUCUUGGUUUGAGAAAAAAAAGUAAAAGUUGUCAGAUUUCAAUGAUAAAAAAAAAAGUGCUGAUUGACAUUGAUUAUAGCAUGAAAAAUAUUGAUUUUGGUGUCAACGGGUUCAAUUUGAUGAGCGGAGUUUCAUCUAGGUUUUUUUUUUUUUUUCUUGGCUGAGAUAAUAGAUUUGAGCUUAAUAAGUUUUUUGAAUUUAGUUUGAUUUUGGAUUUUUAGAUUGUUUGGGUUAGGUUUAGAUCUUUAUGAUAUUUUUUUUAAGUGUUUUGGCUAAAAUCAAAAGUUGAAAAAUUCAAUUUUGGAACAUAAAAAACCCUUUCCGUGAUUUUUUUACAACCCUUUAGUCAUUUAAAAUUGGAGUUGUACACAACAAGUCAUUUGUAUCAUUUGAAAAAAAUGGUUGGGACCAAGCAAAAAAAAUAAAAUGUGCAAGUAUGCGGGCCUAACUUUGAAUCCGGUCCAUUUGGAUUUUACUCUUGGGCUUCUUUUUGAAAGGGCUUUUAUUUUUUAAAAAACCUUAAUUUAAAAAAAUAUAAGAAAAUUAUACAUCAAUUAAAUUAUUAUUUUUGUAUUAUGUGGGGAUGAAAAUGUUUUUGUCACUUAACUUUUUUUAAAAAAAAAAAUUGAUUUCUUUUCAGUUUGUUUUCUAUAGAGUUAUUUUGGUUUUAUAAUCCAUAUCACGAGUUUAACGGGUUAACCUAAAUUGACUUAGACUAUUUCCUUUUCAUUUCUUUUUAAAAAUCAAUAUUUUUUCAAUUUCGCACUUUGACAAUGGGUUGGUUAAGAACUAACUUUUUUUUUUCUAAUUAUUUUCUAUAGGGUAAUUUCAUUCUCAUAACUUGGGUGUGAUAUGUUUGGCAUGUUUACCUAGAUUUACUCGAUUUGCAUUUUUAUUUUUUUUUCUUAAAUUAAGUAUAUUUUAAAUAUAUCAUGGUCUCAUAACCCAACUCAUGAUUAAUCUAGGUUCACCUGAAUCGAUUUAAUAUAUUAUCAUCUUAAUAUUUAAAAAAAAAUAUUGUUCAGUGUGUCACCAUCCUAAAAUUUAAAAAAGUUUCAUCUAAUAUGUAACAAAUUUUGAAUCAUGAUUAAAAUAUUUUUAAAAAAUAUAUAUUAAUAACAUCUAAAUAUUUUUUUAUAUUAAAAAAAUUAACUCAACUCGUGUCAUAGCAGUAACCAAUAAUCUGGUUAGUGAGUUAGUUAGUAUAGAAAGUCAUGAAUUUAAAAUAUGAUAUAUUUUUUUCUUGUUUUCGCCAGUAUAGGAAACAAAGAUUCAAAGAAUAAUACUCCCUUUCUUUUUCAUUUUUUGAGAGCAAGGAGUACGCCUUUUUGUACCUUACUUUUCCUGAAGUGGCUGAAAUAGUAUAGUUCCGGAUUCGAUCUCGUUUUAGUUUCCUGAGGCGGCGAAUCUUUCAAUUAACUAAACAAAACAGUAGAUUGUGUCUGUAUCUAAUGGGUUUACUUGUACUAGUUUCUAAGCACUAAAAUAACUUUCCGAGAAAACUUGAAUGCUAGCUUGAAACUACUGGAAAGUGGAAAUUAGUCAAUUAACUCACCCUUUUCUCCUUGCCAAUGUCAAGGACGAUGAGUUCCACCAAUCCUUUGGUGUUCAUCAGCACACCAAGCGUCAAAGACUCUCUUGCUGGAAUCAUAAACAUCAUCGCCACUACAAAGGUGCCAAUAAUCUUCCCUGCACAAGCUGUAGUUAUAACCAGCACCAGAAGCCCCCAGGACCUUCCAUUAUGAAUUGUAGCCACAUCAGUCUUCAAACCACUAGAAGCGAAGUAAAGCGGGAGAAGCAAAGCCGAAACAAAAUCCUCAAUCCUCUCUAUCAAUCUCUCUGCAAACACACCUCCUUUAGGGAUAGUGAGUCCAAAAACAAAGGCACCAAAAAUAGAAUGAAUUCCUAUAAGGUCAGUAAUGAAUCCUGACACCAGAACCCCGGUCAAUGUGAAGCAUAUAUAAGCUUCAUCUAUCAUAUUAUUUUUCGAGGAGCAUCUGCGGGCAAUCCAUUUCAUAGCAGGUCGGAUCACAGUUAACAUGAUUGCAACAAAGGCACCACCUGAAAUAAGAACCCAUAUUGAUAUCAAGGGACUUUUGUGCUGGCCAUCUGCCCCAUUGCCAGCUAAAGCAACUGCCAAGGCUAGCAAGAUCCAAGCCGUGACAUCAUUAAAUGCUGCAGCAGCCAUUGCAGUCUCCCCUACUUGAGUUGUUAGUAGCUUGAGCUCUGCAAGAAUGCGGGAUAAAACAGGAAAUGCUGUGAUUGAAAGUGCUACCCCUAUGAACACCAAGAACUGAGUAUAACCAACUUGAUCUUCUCCUUCAAUUGCUUUUCUAAGGACAAAUGCUACAGCUACGCCACAGACAAAUGGGAGUGAUAUUCCUGCUACUGCUAUGCCAAAAGCACGCUUACCGCUCCUGCGAAUUGAGGAUAAAUCAAGCUCUAGACCUACCAGGAAAAGAAAGAAAAGAAGACCAACACUCGCUACAGAUUCGAGUAUCGGUGUGCUCCAUUUCGGGAAAAUCCAGUUCAAGUACUCUUUGUUUCGUCCGAUAGCUGAUGGUCCAAGCAGAAUCCCACCCUGAAAAUAUAAAUUUGAACAUCAUCAAUGCAUGAUCAAUAACAUAAAAUCACAGAUGUAUGAUUCUAAAGAAUUUAGUAGCUCACAGCUAUUUCAGCAAUGACUUUGGGUUGGCGGAGGGGCUUGAGAAGGAAGGCAAGAAGACGGCUAACCACUACGAUUAAGGUAGUCUGAACUAUUAGUAAUGGGAAGGCAUGGUCCAGGGGAUUAUCACCUUGCCAGGCUCCAUUUGAUGAUGUUCUGAUGGAAGUUAUGUUGAUUACUGGCAUGGUUGUCGAUGGACUAAUAUAUAUUCUACUAAUUUAUAACUUUAUGCUAAACUAUUUAAUUUAUAAUUCUCAUCAAGAAGAAGUUGAGUUGAGUGUAAUUGUGGAGAAAAGAAGAGAGUGAGUGGUAUAGAGAAGUUGUUGCAAUUUAUAGAGUGAGAAGUACCCUUUCUCAAGGAGCAAAUUCUACAAUACUUUCGGGAAUAUUUUAAAGAAAUUGCCUUGGCUAUUACCAAUGAUUAAAGAGAUUCGUCAUUGCAUAUUCUAUAUUUCUCGAAACAAUUACUCUGUUGUUUUUUUACUUUUGAUUAGGGUUAACUAGAUUGAUGCCCGUAUUAUAUUGUAGGCUAGCCAAAAAAAAAUUUAAAAUGUAAAAAAAUAAUUAAUAAGAUAAUGCAAGCUAAAAAAAGCAAAAAAAUAAAAAUUGAGGAUUGAAUCAUUAAUUAACUUGACUGGAUUUAAUAAAUUCGGCCAAUUUAAUAAUACAAAAAAUAAAAAAUACAACAACAAUAAAAUUAACUAAAAAAAUAACAAAGAUGGACUUUUUUGCUAAAACAAAGCUAUUCUCACAAAAGCAAAUUAAUUAAAACUAUAAAGUUUAAUCAUUAAACAAUCUAAUAUUGAAAAAUAAAGUAAUCAAAAUUAUUUUUAAAUUAAAAAAAAAAUCAAUAAAAAUAACAUAGCCGAAUUUAAAAUCAAAUAAAUGUCAAAAACAAAACAGAAAAUUAAAUAUCAUGUUUUGUAAACUUGUUCAAACUAAGCCUAAGAAUUUGCUUCGUUUCAUUCUUUUCACCGAUAGAAUCACAAGUAGUAUUGAUGUUUUCAUUUCACCUUCUCUUAGCCACCAGCUCUUUUACAACACUGAUAAUGUGAAGUAUAAAAUUCUAUAUAUUAUCUACCACACUUCUCGGCUUAAAUGUUACUACGAAUUGGAGAGAAGAUUUGUAAUCAUGAUCGUUGAAAAGUUUCGACAGUUGAAUUGAUAUUUGUCUUGAUUGACAGCCAGAAAAAGAAGAAAGCAGAUAUAAAAAGCGAUAGAGAUUCUCCACUAACUAGAAUCAGAAUUCGUAUUUUAUUAUUGAUUAUUUUUCUCUAAUACGAAGUUUAUAACUUUUUGAAUAGAACAAUAACCAACAGAAAAAUCAGAAUUCUAAUAACAUGAAAUUUGAAAUUAAACUACAAAUCAGAAAAGAAAAAAAUAAUAAUAAAAUUGACUCAAACAAUAUCUUCUAAGUCUAAUUUGAAUGUCUUUUCAACCAAUGAUGACUAUAGUUAACCAAUCCUUUUAUUAGAUAUUGUUUCUGACAACCCAAUCGAAAGUUGUGAGUUUUUUUUUUUAUUAAUGUGAAUGUACGGGUUAGUUUGCGCACACCUCGUCUAAUUUUACGGGCCUGAAGUUAAUAACCAUAUAAACCUCAAGUUUUAGGUUUUUUCUUCCGACGAGUUGUUUGAUCUUUUUUUCUUAACUUAGUUAUAUCCCAUCGAUCCAUAGAAAAAUGUUUGACCUAAAUACUUGAAGGACCAAAGUAAAAAAAUUUGAAACAUUAAGAGCUCAAUUGUGUUUAGCCAAAGAUACAAGGAGCGGUACGAUUAGUUGUUAUUACAAUGGAAUAAUAUCAGAUUUCUUUCGAUGGAUUCCAGUGUGAUUUGAUUACGGGAACAACAAUAAAAUUUUGGGUUAGAUAUGGAAUCUAAUCCACAAAAAUGAUGGAUUCGAUUCGGCGUUUGACUAUGAAGCAAGGGCCUAUUUGAAUAGUUUGAUCACUAGACCAGCAAGAGUUUUGGCUUGGUAUGGAAUAUCGUCCACUUAUAAAGGAAUCCGAUUCGGCGUAGAUUGGUCUUGUCUCCAUCGAGAAGCAUUUUUGCCUCUUUUAUUUAUUUUCCCCCCCUCGAGAAUCAACUGGCUUAGUGUUUUGAAACCUUUUCAAGAAGUGUUUUUCAAUAUAAAAAAAAACAAAUUCGAGAAGGGGGAAUCGAACCUGCUUUCGUGCAUUUACAAAUUAAUCUCGCGGACAUUUUUGACAUGUGAAAAACAUAAAGAAAAAUAAAAGUUAAAUUUCCCCUCACACAAGCUAUCGAAGCACAAUAGAAAGGUGAGCCAGCUGACGGGAUAUCCUGAUCUUCAACUUAAUUAAUUCUAAUUAUAGUAUGGAGUUGAUUUUGAUUAGUCAAUUGGGAAUAUAUGUCAUGACUUGCCUAGUCGAUAGCUUAGCAAAGAUCGAUGAUUAUGUAUCGAUAAGGCUAAGUUCAAGAAGAGUGAGUUAUGCAAAGGGAUAAGCCUAGUAAAAAAAACUUGGAAUUUUUAAUUUUAAUGUUGGAUAGUGAUUGAAUUUUUAAUUUUAAGCCUAAUACAAAAACUCACUGCAAAUUAAACUAAUCUCUUUAAAAUGUCAUGUAACUAAAAAAAUAUAAAAUUAUCAAUAUUUAAAUAGAAAUAAUUAAUAAAAAUAAAUAACAAAAAAUAAUGUCAAGCGUUGAUGGGUCAAGCCCACAUGUUUAACCUUAAUAAAAAAAAACCUAGGUGCAUCUCAGUCUGGAAAGUCAAGACCGAGUUUGGGUUUUUUUUCAUCAGGAGCAGGGCAGCAUAAAGCUAGGCGAACAAUAUUUCAAUGAGAUUUAUUUUUUAAAACACAUGUGGUAGGUCAACUAUAAUGGCAAGCGACCUAUCACCACUUAGUCAUUUUCCUAUCAUUUUCGGUGACUGGAAAAUCAAAGUCCAAGUUUAUUUAUUUAAAAAAACAAUUUUCAACUCUUUUUUACCUGAAAACACCUUCAAAAAACCAUCUAAACAUCUAAAAACUACUUAAAACCCCAAAAUCACUCUAAAAAAUAAAAAUCAAUUUAAUCAAAAUAAGUAAAACAGACUUUAAUCUACUUUUCCUCCCAACUUGUUUUUACCUUCAUUAAACUCCUUUUUAGAAGAGGAAUCCAUUGACACAAUGAUUGUUUUUUUUUGUGGCUUUAAUGUAGUUAACCGACAACUUUAUUGUUUUUUAGUGAAUUUCUCUCUGUUAUCUCAAAUUCAAGAAGUAAAUUAUUGUAAACUAGCAAAUAUAUCAUUUUCAUGUGAGUUUCUCUCUCCUUUCUUAAAUAUAUAGACUGAAAAAUAAAUAAAAUAAACCUUUGUACCCAAAUGAAAAUCCUAAAAGUCCUCACUUUAAAUUUUAUCUUUCUACUAUAAUUUAAAAUUUGAUAUCAUGGAAUUAUGUCACAAAAUGAUUAAAUAAAAAGAAAAAAAAACAUAAGGAUGAUAUUUUAAAAAAUUACACUAUUAGAAAAAAAUAAAAAAAGAUAAUGAAUAUUUGUAAAGAAAAACCCAAUUCUUUUAGUAUACUUGUUAAUGAUUAUUUUCUCUUUAUAUCUAUUUACAACUUGACACAAAGUCAAAGAGUGGAGUUUAAGAGAGAGAGUACUAUCUACAACACACACACACACACACACACACACACAUAUAUAUAUAUAUAUAUAUAUAUAAAUAUAUAUUAGUACGAUCAGUAAUUAUAAACUUUAUCAUAUAAUCUGGAAAAGGACAAGAUUUUCACAAAUGUAAAAGUAAAGACUUGUCUUUAUAAUAUUGUAGAAUAAUCUUUUAAUUACACCCCUAUUAUAUACCUCUGAAGUAGGAAUAUUAACCAUAAAUCAGAAAAUAGGGCAUACAAGUAAAAAUAGUUGUAACUCAUGCGUGUUUGACAGUGUGGUUGCGGAUACUUUUCAAAUAACUUUUUGUAUCAAAAUACAUGCCAAUGAUUUUUUUUAUUUUAAAAAAAUUAUUUUUGAUAUCAACACAUUACAAAUCAUUUUAAAUUUUAAUAAAAAAUAAAAAAAAUUCAAAUUUUAGUGGGCCCCUCUUACACUAUCCCACUUGGGGAGACGUUAAACAGGUGCACCCGCUGAGUGCAAUUCUAGUAUGUUGUAAAGUAACCUACGUUUCAGUAAUUAUAAACUUGUAAUCUGGAACGCAUAAGAUUUUCACAAAUGUGAAUGCAUAAGAUUCUCACAAAUGUAAAAGCAAAUUUACUGGUCUUUAUAAUAUUGUAGAAUAGUCUGUUAAUUACACCCGAUAAAUCGGGAAACAGGGCAUAGAAGUAAAAAAAGUUGUUACUCAUUUAGACAGGGGCCGCGGCUAGCGCAGGCCCCCUCUACCACAAAUUUUGACGUACACUCUCCCACUUGGGGAGAUGUUAAACUGGUGCACCCGCUGAGUGCAAUGCUAGCCACCAGCCUAGGCCUGAGCCUUAUUGAUCGCCCAAAGACCCCGUCCAGGUAAGUAUGUUGUAAAGUAGCCCGUCCAUUCUAUUUUAUACGCUUUUCGUCCUGUCUUUGCUGCUUUCUUUCCGAUGUGGGAUACGAACAACAAACUUUAUCCUGUUCUUUAUACGCGUGUAAGGUGCCAAAGAUAAAUAAAUUAAUCGUAUGUAAUUGUUUUUUGGUUUAUAAAGGAGUUGAAGAGGAAAGCAAGCAGUUAAGGAGUGUUUGACACAAUUUAUAUUUUUUAUAUAUAUAUUUUAAAAAAAUAUUUUUGGAUUGAAAAAAUAUUAAAUUAAUAUGUUAGUAUUGUUUUUUUGAUAAUUUUAAUGUAUUGAUAUAAAAAUUAAAAAAAUAAUAUAUUUAUAAGUAAAAACCUAUUUUAAAAAAUACCUUGCACUAUAAUUCAAACUUUUUAAAUCUCUAAAUCCCAAGAGACUUGGCUGAAUCAACGUAAUGAUGUAUUGAUUUAGAAUUUGCUUGAGGCUAGAUGGGUGAAAAAAACUUAUUUUUUCACUAAAAAGAUGUUGUUUUAUUUUUAAAAACCCUCGUCUAUGUUGUAAUGGCUUUUCUUGCUAUAACGUUGAGUUCUCUAAAUUAAGUUGUAAUUAAUAGUAUGUAAUUAUUUGACGACGUUUAAAGUUGAAUGAAUACAAUUUGAAUUUUUAUGCCACGGGAGAAUAUGAUUGACAUGUAAAGUUCAUUUUUUUCUAAGAGCAAGAUGUGGUUUCUUUGUGCUCCGAUGCAUUAAAUUUUGGAUGGUAUGAAUUACGUUCAACUGCAAUUAAAGGUAUGAGAAUUCGUUAGGCAGCCAUUCAAUUCGUUGGUGUUAACCAAAAUCCUUGCUUUCCUAAGAAACUACUAUUUGGUUUCAUAAGCAUAUCUAUAGCCACAGUUUCCUGGGCACUUGCUAAGUUGCUGCAGAAGUGGGAGAGGGGAUUGCAAGAAUACCAUGCUCCGAGAAAGCAUCUUUAAUUCGGUAAAAAAAAGAAGUGGGAAGCAUUUUAAUAGAGUGAAUCCAAGGUAGCCUGGGACUUAGUUGCUCACACCAAGAUCGGAGGGUGGUUUAGGCUUCAGAUUUUUUUUUUGAAGGAAUGGAACUCAGUCUGUGUUGGCAAUGGUUCUUUAAGGGAGCUCAGAAUUCCAAAUGACCGUAGUUGGAAUGGGAAGAAAGUUCUAAAACUGGGGUCUGAUUUAGGACUGCAUAUGUGGAGCACAGGUAGGGGAAAGGAAAAAAAACAUUUGUUUAUGGUGGAAUCACUGGCAGGCUAAGGAGACCUGGAAGGAGGAUCACCAGUGAAUCUGGCUUGAUCUAUACUGCAAAAGUUCAGGUCCUUGGACAGAUUGAGAUGGCCAAGCCAAGGUCAGAUGACAUGAUGAGCAUUCAAAUCGCUGUUUGCAAUAGCGAGGAUCCUGUAAUACGGAAUCCAUCCAACCAGCCAUCCUUACUAUCUUAUGCAUCAGAAUCAUUAGUUACACGGUAGCAUUCAAAUCUCAUUGUUACAUUGUCAAAGACCUUGAGCUUUUGAAGGCAAGCCAUCACCUUAGAGACUUCACGCCACGUUAUAACAACGAAAGCGACCACCACAUCCAGAACUGAAAACUGACUCCAUGUAUCUUACGCAGUUGGUUCUUUAUAAAACUUGUGCUUAUCUCAAAAGAUUUCAUGCUUAGAGUAGGAACCAGAAGAAAAAACACUUCGGCACUUUGUUAGUACAGGGUACAGGAUAAUAGUUUCUUAAGGACCCAAAGAGUUGAUAUCCCACAUCGGGAAGAGAAAACUGAAGGCGGGACGAAAGUCAUAUAUAUUACAAUGGGUGGGCCCCAAUAUUUUCUCAGACUGCGCCUUCGGGCAAUCAAGGCCCAGGCCUACUCUAGUAGCCCGCAGGCGCCCAAGCGGGAGAGUGUCUGUCAAAAUUUGUGGUUAUCGGGGCCCGGGCUCCCUGUUUGCUCUGGAUAGCUUUUAUUUUGGGCCCGGGCUCCCUGUUUGCUCUGGAUAGCUUUUAUUUUUUAAAUUAAUAGUUUUUCGACCUAAAAAAAAUACAAAAAUAUCAUUUUGUUUGAAAAGCAUUUUUAAAAUGCUUUUACAUGCUUAUAGUUGAUCUAGAUGAAUGGCCUGCACUUCACUGUGACUGGAUCCUAACUAAUCAAUAGAAGCAAAAUUUUAAAUUAAAGUAAAGUGGAGUGAAAAUGCAUGUUUCUCCUGAAAAGAAAUUGUCAAAUUUGCAGCAACUUGUUGUAAAAAGAAAAACAAAUAAACAGCAACAAAGCAAAAUAAUGUAGUGAAAAUCGUAUUGUUUAAUAACAUGACAUGAUUCUUCAUCGUGCUUGAUUGUUUUUGGCAAUUGUUUUUGCUAAAAACAUGAUUGUCAUAGCCAUUUUGCACCCUAUUUUUCUAGCAAUGUAAAAGAGAAGAACAACAUGGAGAA
Molecule: long non-coding RNA, 29936 nt
Filed under: Populus trichocarpa (black cottonwood)
Lineage: Eukaryota; Viridiplantae; Streptophyta; Magnoliopsida; Malpighiales; Salicaceae
Description: long non-coding RNA (PTRI_LNC001676)
Source: RNAcentral